CCCAGGCUGCUCUCGGCUGGCGCGCCGCACCCGACAAGGCGGCGGCGGCGGCGGCGGCGGCAGUGGUGGCGGUGGUGGCGGCGGC
This 85-nucleotide microRNA precursor is filed under the name Ovis aries (sheep). Its description in RNAcentral is "miRNA (ENSOARG00000025030.1)". The record is from RNAcentral. Lineage: Eukaryota; Metazoa; Chordata; Mammalia; Artiodactyla; Bovidae.